RNAcentral lists this ribosomal RNA (1893 nucleotides) under Triticum aestivum (bread wheat). RNAcentral describes it as "partial small subunit ribosomal RNA". Lineage: Eukaryota; Viridiplantae; Streptophyta; Magnoliopsida; Poales; Poaceae. The record is from RNAcentral.
AUGGACGAUCUAAGUGCAGUGCCAAGGGUUAUGUCGUUCCAGUUAUUAAAUGAAAUUACAAAAAAUUUCUCUGCAGACAUGAAAAUUGGCACUGGAUCAUUCGGAAAUGUUUAUAAGGGACAGCAUACAGAUGGGGAAUGGAUUGCUGUGAAGCUUCUUCAUAAUUACAUUCCAGGACUUGAAGAUGAGCAAUUUGAGAAGGAGUAUCACAAUCUCGCAAAUCUGCAACACAAAAAUAUUGUGCGGUUAGUUGGCUAUAGUCAUGAAACUCGGCGAGAAUUCCUACCUUAUAAUGGUGACCUGGUCUUGGCUGACAUUACACAGAGAGCACUUUGCUUUGAAUAUAUGCAAAAUGGAAGCCUUGAGAAAUUUCUUACUGAUGAAUCUAAGGAACGUGAUUGGCGCACACGCUAUGCAAUAAUUAAAGGAAUUUGUCAGGGUUUGAAAUAUCUUCAUGAGGAAUUGCAAACUCCUAUGUAUCAUUUGGAUUUAAAACCAGCCAAUGUACUGCUAGAUGAAAAUAUGGUGCCCAAAAUCGCGGAUUUUGGCUUGUCAAGGCUCUUCAGAGGAGAACAGUCAAAAUUCACAAAAAGUGACAUAGGAACACGUGGGUAUCUACCACCGGAAUAUAUUGACGCCUGUAUAAUCUCCAUUAAGUUUGACAUAUUCAGUUUGGGUGUGGUAAUUAUAAAGAUAAUGGCUGGACCAACGGAGCACUUUCGAAGUGCUGAAAUGUCUCCCCAAGAAUUCAUAGAGAUUGUACAUGCUUACUGGAAGACUAAGCUACAAACAACAUUGGUUCACGCGUUGGAGCCAUAUUCCAAACAAGUAAAGAGAUGCAUCGAAAUAGCUUUAAAUUGUGUGGAUGCAGAUCGACACAAAAGACCAAGUAUAGGGGAAAUCAUUAAUGUUUUGAAUGAGACGGAGAUUGCAAUACAAGUCCUUGGCGCUUCAAUGAAUCACACAGGGUCAUCGAUGAACAAGAUAAAUAGUGACCGGGAAAGAGAGUUCCUUAGGUAUGCCAAGGAAACGCUGUAUUAUGUACAUCGAGGGCAAGGGAACACAUCAUUUGAGAUAAAUAGCGACCAGGAAAGAGAGUUCCUUAGGGAUGCCAAGGAAACGCUGGAUUAUGUACAUCGAGGGCAAGGGAACACAUCAUUUGAGGACUUCCGACAAACUCACAUAGCAGAACUAGAAGAACAAGAGAGAAAAGGACUGAGCACGGCGGUGAAUCUCUUUGGUGAAGUAGUUGACAACUACAAGUUGGAUCAAAUGCCAGGGUACAAGGGGAAACCCAAGAAGCGGGAAGACCGAGCACGAGAGGCCUUGAAUCUGAUGUGCGAGGACCGCAAAGAUGUCAUGGCUUGCAGGUACUUGUGUCCCAAGGUAAUCAUCCAAGUCUACUGGCCGCGGGCCACGCAGUGCUUCAUCUAUAACGCGACCGGCGACACCCUCUACCACGUCGGCAACCAUGACUGGUCUGGGCACAUCCUCAAUAGCAGGGGCUACCCUGAACGGAUUGGCAACGGUCAGUGGGCUGCCUUCGUUCACUGCCAAGGGUCAUUUUCAGGUUCGAUGGCAUCGGUUAUCUAUCGUGGCAAGAACAAAGAUGGUGGAGAUCAGCACUACCUGGUUUCCUGGAAUAACCCAAUUAGAUAUACUUUUGGGUUCAACAAGGCUUAUUGCGGGAUCGGCCCUGUAGACUACUUCCAUACACGUUGGGAUCAUACACUCGAUAACCUUUCAAAUUCUGAUAACUAUUCAUACGCCAAGUCUGAUGGAUGCGAGAUUGAUUCAAAAAUUGGCAAGCGUGAUGCCCCAUUUUUUAUUGCAAAGAUCACCUCGCUGGUUGGUCACCUCCAGCAUUGUGCAAGGAUUUAUAUGGAUAAAUAG